RNAcentral lists this ribosomal RNA (684 nucleotides) under Lactobacillus acidophilus. RNAcentral describes it as "bacterial SSU rRNA". It matches the Rfam family "Bacterial small subunit ribosomal RNA", at positions 57 to 710 of the family's 1533-position model. The record is from RNAcentral. Lineage: Bacteria; Bacillati; Bacillota; Bacilli; Lactobacillales; Lactobacillaceae.
GCAGUCGAGCGAGCGGAACAACAGAUUUACUUCGGUAAUGACGUUGGGAAAGCGAGCGGCGGAUGGGUGAGUAACACGUGGGGAACCUGCCCCUAAGUCUGGGAUACCAUUUGGAAACAGGUGCUAAUACCGGAUAAUAAAGCAGAUCGCAUGAUCAGCUUUUGAAAGGCGGCGUAAGCUGUCGCUAAGGGAUGGCCCCGCGGUGCAUUAGCUAGUUGGUAAGGUAACGGCUUACCAAGGCGACGAUGCAUAGCCGAGUUGAGAGACUGAUCGGCCACAUUGGGACUGAGACACGGCCCAAACUCCUACGGGAGGCAGCAGUAGGGAAUCUUCCACAAUGGACGCAAGUCUGAUGGAGCAACGCCGCGUGAGUGAAGAAGGUUUUCGGAUCGUAAAGCUCUGUUGUUGGUGAAGAAGGAUAGAGGUAGUAACUGGCCUUUAUUUGACGGUAAUCAACCAGAAAGUCACGGCUAACUACGUGCCAGCAGCCGCGGUAAUACGUAGGUGGCAAGCGUUGUCCGGAUUUAUUGGGCGUAAAGCGAGCGCAGGCGGAAAAAUAAGUCUAAUGUGAAAGCCCUCGGCUUAACCGAGGAACUGCAUCGGANACUGUUUUUCUUGAGUGCAGAAGAGGAGAGUGGAACUCCAUGUGUAGCGGUGGAAUGCGUAGAUAUAUGGAAGAACACC